RNAcentral lists this ribosomal RNA (1420 nucleotides) under metagenome. RNAcentral's name for it is "bacterial LSU rRNA". It matches the Rfam family "Bacterial large subunit ribosomal RNA", at positions 1527 to 2925 of the family's 2925-position model. The record is from RNAcentral.
AAAUCUUAGGUAAAUCCGGGGUUUCAAGGCCGAGAGCUGAUGACGAGUCGUCUUUUAGAUGACGAAGUGGUUGAUGCCAUGCUUCCAAGAAAAGCUUCUAAGCUUCAGGUAACCAGGAACCGUACCCCAAACCGACACAGGUGGUCGGGUAGAGAAUACCAAGGCGCUUGAGAGAACUCGGGUGAAGGAACUAGGCAAAAUGGCACCGUAACUUCGGGAGAAGGUGCGCCGGCUAGGGUGAAGGAUUUACUCCGUAAGCUCUGGCUGGUCGAAGAUACCAGGCCGCUGCGACUGUUUAUUAAAAACACAGCACUCUGCAAACACGAAAGUGGACGUAUAGGGUGUGACGCCUCCCCGGUGCCGGAAGGUUAAUUGAUGGGGUUAGCGCAAGCGAAGCUCUUGAUCGAAGCCCCGGUAAACGGCGGCCGUAACGAUAACGGUCCUAAGGUAGCGAAAUUCCUUGUCGGGUAAGUUCCGACCUGCACGAAUGGCGUAACGAUGGCGGCGCUGUCUCCACCCGAGGCUCAGUGAAAUUGAAAUCGCUGUGAAGAUGCAGUGUAUCCGCGGCUAGACGGAAAGACCCCGUGAACCUUUACUGUAGCUUUGCACUGGACUUUGAGCCUGCUUGUGUAGGAUAGGUGGGAGGCUUUGAAGCGUGGACGCCAGUUCGCGUGGAGCCAUCCUUGAAAUACCACCCUGGCAUGCUUGAGGUUCUAACUCUGGUCCGUAAUCCGGAUCGAGGACAGUGUAUGGUGGGCAGUUUGACUGGGGCGGUCUCCUCCUAAAGAGUAACGGAGGAGUACGAAGGUGCGCUCAGACCGGUCGGAAAUCGGUCGCAGAGUAUAAAGGCAAAAGCGCGCUUGACUGCGAGACAGACACGUCGAGCAGGUACGAAAGUAGGUCUUAGUGAUCCGGAGGUUCUGUAUGGAAGGGCCAUCGCUCAACGGAUAAAAGGUACUCCGGGGAUAACAGGCUGAUACCGCCCAAGAGUUCAUAUCGACGGCGGUGUUUGGCACCUCGAUGUCGGCUCAUCACAUCCUGGGGCUGAAGCCGGUCCCAAGGGUAUGGCUGUUCGCCAUUUAAAGUGGUACGCGAGCUGGGUUUAGAACGUCGUGAGACAGUUCGGUCCCUAUCUGCCGUGGACGUUUGAGAUUUGAGAGGGGCUGCUCCUAGUACGAGAGGACCGGAGUGGACGAACCUCUGGUGUUCCGGUUGUCACGCCAGUGGCAUUGCCGGGUAGCUAUGUUCGGAAAAGAUAACCGCUGAAAGCAUCUAAGCGGGAAACUUGCCUCAAGAUGAGAUCUCACUGGGAACUUGAUUCCCCUGAAGGGCCGUCGAAGACUACGACGUUGAUAGGCUGGGUGUGUAAGCGUUGUGAGGCGUUGAGCUAACCAGUACUAAUUGCCCGUGAGGCUUGACU